UUAGCCUCUUUGGGUCGCUGUCGGUUCAGCGAUCGGGUGUGGAAACCCGCCAA
RNAcentral lists this non-coding RNA (53 nucleotides) under Pseudomonas putida W619. Lineage: Bacteria; Pseudomonadati; Pseudomonadota; Gammaproteobacteria; Pseudomonadales; Pseudomonadaceae. The record is from RNAcentral.